Molecule: long non-coding RNA, 190 nt
Organism: Amblyraja radiata (thorny skate)
Lineage: Eukaryota; Metazoa; Chordata; Chondrichthyes; Rajiformes; Rajidae
Exons: 3
Source: RefSeq, a predicted model, not a curated record
GGUAGAGGAAUCAAGAACGAUAGGGCAUUGAUUUAAGGUGAAAGUGAGGAGUUUUCAUACAAGAGUAGUUGGUAUCUGGAAUGAGUUGCCAGAGGAAGUGGUGGAAUCAGGAACUGUAAAAACAUUUGAGAGGCUUCUGAACAGGUACUUGAAUGAGCAUGGCAUAAAGGGAUAUAGAAUUAAUGCAGGC